GAACGGGUGAGUAACACGUGGGAAACCUACCUCUUAGCAGGGGAUAACAUUUGGAAACAGAUGCUAAUACCGUAUAACAAUGACAACCGCAUGGUUGUUAUUUAAAAGAUGGUUCUGCUAUCACUAAGAGAUGGUCCCGCGGUGCAUUAGCUAGUUGGUAAGGUAAUGGCUUACCAAGGCAAUGAUGCAUAGCCGAGUUGAGAGACUGAUCGGCCACAAUGGGACUGAGACACGGCCCAUACUCCUACGGGAGGCAGCAGUAGGGAAUCUUCCACAAUGGGCGAAAGCCUGAUGGAGCAACGCCGCGUGUGUGAUGAAGGGUUUCGGCUCGUAAAACACUGUUGUAAGAGAAGAAUGACAUUGAGAGUAACUGUUCAAUGUGUGACGGUAUCUUACCAGAAAGGAACGGCUAAAUACGUGCCAGCAGCCGCGGUAAUACGUAUGUUCCAAGCGUUAUCCGGAUUUAUUGGGCGUAAAGCGAGCGCAGACGGUUAUUUAAGUCUGAAGUGAAAGCCCUCAGCUCAACUGAGGAAUUGCUUUGGAAACUGGAUGACUUGAGUGCAGUAGAGGAAAGUGGAACUCCGUGUGUAGCGGUGAAAUGCGUAGAUAUAUGGAAGAACACCAGUGGCGAAAGCGGCUUUCUGGACUGUAACUGACGUUGAGGCUCGAAAGUGUGGGUAGCAAACAGGAUUAGAUACCCUGGUAGUCCACACCGUAAACGAUGAGUGCUAGGUGUUUGAGGGUUUCCGCCCUUAAGUGCCGUA
Molecule: ribosomal RNA, 764 nt
Filed under: uncultured Weissella sp.
Lineage: Bacteria; Bacillati; Bacillota; Bacilli; Lactobacillales; Lactobacillaceae
Description: bacterial SSU rRNA
Rfam family: Bacterial small subunit ribosomal RNA
Source: RNAcentral